UACGUAGGCGGAAAUCUAAGUCAGUGGUGAAAUCCCGCAGCUCAACUGUGGAACUGUCAUUGAUACUGGUUUUCUUGAAUAUAGUUGAGGUAGGCGGAAUGUGUAAUGUAGCGGUGAAAUGCUUAGAUAUUACACAGAACACCGAUUGCGAAGGCAGCUUACUAAACUAUGAUUGACGCUGAGGUACGAAAGCGUGGGAGCGAACAGGAUUAGAUACCCUGGUAGUCC
Molecule: ribosomal RNA, 228 nt
Filed under: uncultured bacterium
Lineage: Bacteria
Description: partial 16S ribosomal RNA
Rfam family: Bacterial small subunit ribosomal RNA
Source: RNAcentral